UACGUAGGGGGCAAGCGUUGUCCGGAUUUAUUGGGCGUAAAGCGCGUGUAGGUGGCCAAGUAGGUCCGCUGUGAAAACUUGAGGCUCAACCUCAAGCUGUCGGUGGAAACCCCUUGGCUAGAGUCCGGAAGAGGAGAGUGGAAUUCCUGGUGUAGCGGUGAAAUGCGCAGAUAUCAGGAAGAACACCAAUGGCGAAGGCAGCUCUCUGGGACGGUACUGACACUGAGACGCGAAAGCGUGGGGAGUGAACAGG
This 253-nucleotide ribosomal RNA is filed under the name uncultured bacterium. RNAcentral's name for it is "partial 16S ribosomal RNA". It matches the Rfam family "Bacterial small subunit ribosomal RNA", at positions 524 to 776 of the family's 1533-position model. The record is from RNAcentral.